This 497-nucleotide ribosomal RNA is filed under the name uncultured bacterium. RNAcentral describes it as "partial 16S ribosomal RNA". It matches the Rfam family "Bacterial small subunit ribosomal RNA", at positions 28 to 507 of the family's 1533-position model. The record is from RNAcentral.
GAUGAACGCUGGCGGCGUGCCUAAUACAUGCAAGUCGAGCGAACAGACGAGGAGCUUGCUCCUCUGACGUUAGCGGCGGGCGGGUGAGUAACACGUGGAUAACCUACCUAUAAGACUGGGAUAACUUCGGGAAACCGGAGCUAAUACCGGAUAAUAUAUUGAACCGCAUGGUUCAAUAGUGAAAGACGGUUUUGCUGUCACUUAUAGAUGGAUCCGCGCCGCAUUAGCUAGUUGGUAAGGUAACGGCUUACCAAGGCGACGAUGCGUAGCCGACCUGAGAGGGUGAUCGGCCACACUGGAACUGAGACACGGUCCAGACUCCUACGGGAGGCAGCAGUAGGGAAUCUUCCGCAAUGGGCGAAAGCCUGACGGAGCAACGCCGCGUGAGUGAUGAAGGUCUUCGGAUCGUAAAACUCUGUUAUUAGGGAAGAACAAAUGUGUAAGUAACUAUGCACGUCUUGACGGUACCUAAUCAGAAGGCCACGGCUAACUACGUG